Molecule: ribosomal RNA, 468 nt
Filed under: uncultured bacterium
Lineage: Bacteria
Description: partial 16S ribosomal RNA
Rfam family: Bacterial small subunit ribosomal RNA
Source: RNAcentral
GACGAACGCUGGCGGCGUGCUUAACACAUGCAAGUCGAACGGAAAGGCCCUGCUUUUGUGGGGUGCUCGAGUGGCGAACGGGUGAGUAACACGUGAGUAAAAUGCCCUUGACUUUGGGAUAACUUCAGGAAACUGGGGCUCAUACCGGAUAGGAGCUCCUGCUGCAUGGUGGGGGAUGGAAAGUUUCGGCGGUUGGGGAUGGACUAGCGGCUUAUCCGCUUGUUGGUGGGGUAGUGGAUUACCAAGGCUUUGACGGGUAGCCGGCCUGAGAGGGUGACCGGCCACAUUGGGACUGAGAUACGGCGCAGACUCCUACGGGAGGCAGCAGUGGGGAAUAUUGCACAAUGGGCGGAAGCCUGAUGCAGCAACGCCGCGUGCGGGAUGACGGCCUUCGGGUGGUAAACCGCUGUCGCCUGUGACGAAGCGUGAGUGACGGUAAUGGGUAAAGAAGCACCGGCUAACUACGUG